RNAcentral lists this ribosomal RNA (440 nucleotides) under uncultured bacterium. Its description in RNAcentral is "partial 16S ribosomal RNA". It matches the Rfam family "Bacterial small subunit ribosomal RNA", at positions 338 to 795 of the family's 1533-position model. The record is from RNAcentral.
CCUACGGGUGGCAGCAGUGAGGGAUAUUGGUCAAUGGGGGAAACCCUGAACCAGCAACGCCGCGUGAGGUAAGACGGUUUUCGGAUUGUAAACCUCUGUCCUCUGUGAAGAUAAUUACGGUAGCCGAUGAGGACUCUCCGGCUAACUACGUGCCAGCAGCCGCGGUCAUACGUAGGGAGCAAGCGUUGUCCGGAUUUACUGGGUGUAACGGGUGCGUAGGCGGCUUUGCAAGUCAGAAGUGAAAUCCAUGGGUUUAACCCCGGAACUGCGUUUGAAACUGCAGAGCUGGAGUGGAGUAGAGGUAGGCGGAAUUCCCGGUGUAGCGGUGAAAUGCGUAGAGAGCGGGAGGAACACCAGUGGCGAAGGCGGUCUGCUGGGCUCUAACUGACGCUGAGGCACGAAAGCGUGGGUAGCAAACAGGAUUAGAUACCCCUGUAGUC